GUCUGAAUAUGGGGGGACCAUCCUCCAAGGCUAAAUACUCCUGACUGACCGAUAGUGAACCAGUACCGUGAGGGAAAGGCGAAAAGAACCCCGGCGAGGGGAGUGAAAAAGAACCUGAAACCGUGUACGUACAAGCAGUGGGAGCACGCUUAGGCGUGUGACUGCGUACCUUUUGUAUAAUGGGUCAGCGACUUAUAUUCUGUAGCAAGGUUAACCGAAUAGGGGAGCCGAAGGGAAACCGAGUCUUAACUGGGCGUUAAGUUGCAGGGUAUAGACCCGAAACCCGGUGAUCUAGCCAUGGGCAGGUUGAAGGUUGGGUAACACUAACUGGAGGACCGAACCGACUAAUGUUGAAAAAUUAGCGGAUGACUUGUGGCUGGGGGUGAAAGGCCAAUCAAACCGGGAGAUAGCUGGUUCUCCCCGAAAGCUAUUUAGGUAGCGCCUCGUGAAUUCAUCUCCGGGGGUAGAGCACUGUUUCGGCAAGGGGGUCAUCCCGACUUACCAACCCGAUGCAAACUGCGAAUACCGGAGAAUGUUAUCACGGGAGACACACGGCGGGUGCUAACGUCCGUCGUGAAGAGGGAAACAACCCAGACCGCCAGCUAAGGUCCCAAAGUCAUGGUUAAGUGGGAAACGAUGUGGGAAGGCCCAGACAGCCAGGAUGUUGGCUUAGAAGCAGCCAUCAUUUAAAGAAAGCGUAAUAGCUCACUGGUCGAGUCGGCCUGCGCGGAAGAUGUAACGGGGCUAAACCAUGCACCGAAGCUGCGGCAGCGACGCUUAUGCGUUGUUGGGUAGGGGAGCGUUCUGUAAGCCUGCGAAGGUGUGCUGUGAGGCAUGCUGGAGGUAUCAGAAGUGCGAAUGCUGACAUAAGUAACGAUAAAGCGGGUGAAAAGCCCGCUCGCCGGAAGACCAAGGGUUCCUGUCCAACGUUAAUCGGGGCAGGGUGAGUCGACCCCUAAGGCGAGGCCGAAAGGCGUAGUCGAUGGGAAACAGGUUAAUAUUCCUGUACUUGGUGUUACUGCGAAGGGGGGACGGAGAAGGCUAUGUUGGCCGGGCGACGGUUGUCCCGGUUUAAGCGUGUAGGCUGGUUUUCCAGGCAAAUCCGGAAAACUAAGGCUGAGGCGUGAUGACGAGGCACUACGGUGCUGAAGCAACAAAUGCCCUGCUUCCAGGAAAAGCCUCUAAGCAUCAGGUAACAUCAAAUCGUACCCCAAACCGACACAGGUGGUCAGGUAGAGAAUACCAAGGCGCUUGAGAGAACUCGGGUGAAGGAACUAGGCAAAAUGGUGCCGUAACUUCGGGAGAAGGCACGCUGAUAUGUAGGUGAAGCGACUUGCUCGUGGAGCUGAAAUCAGUCGAAGAUACCAGCUGGCUGCAACUGUUUAUUAAAAACACAGCACUGUGCAAACACGAAAGUGGACGUAUACGGUGUGACGCCUGCCCGGUGCCGGAAGGUUAAUUGAUGGGGUCAGCGCAAGCGAAGCUCUUGAUCGAAGCCCCGGUAAACGGCGGCCGUAACUAUAACGGUCCUAAGGUAGCGAAAUUCCUUGUCGGGUAAGUUCCGACCUGCACGAAUGGCGUAAUGAUGGCCAGGCUGUCUCCACCCGAGACUCAGUGAAAUUGAACUCGCUGUGAAGAUGCAGUGUACCCGCGGCAAGACGGAAAGACCCCGUGAACCUUUACUAUAGCUUGACACUGAACAUUGAGCCUUGAUGUGUAGGAUAGGUGGGAGGCUUUGAAGUGUGGACGCCAGUCUGCAUGGAGCCGACCUUGAAAUACCACCCUUUAAUGUUUGAUGUUCUAACGUUGACCCGUAAUCCGGGUUGCGGACAGUGUCUGGUGGGUAGUUUGACUGGGGCGGUCUCCUCCUAAAGAGUAACGGAGGAGCACGAAGGUUGGCUAAUCCUGGUCGGACAUCAGGAGGUUAGUGCAAUGGCAUAAGCCAGCUUGACUGCGAGCGUGACGGCGCGAGCAGGUGCGAAAGCAGGUCAUAGUGAUCCGGUGGUUCUGAAUGGAAGGGCCAUCGCUCAACGGAUAAAAGGUACUCCGGGGAUAACAGGCUGAUACCGCCCAAGAGUUCAUAUCGACGGCGGUGUUUGGCACCUCGAUGUCGGCUCAUC
RNAcentral lists this ribosomal RNA (2120 nucleotides) under metagenome. RNAcentral's name for it is "bacterial LSU rRNA". It matches the Rfam family "Bacterial large subunit ribosomal RNA", at positions 436 to 2541 of the family's 2925-position model. The record is from RNAcentral.